AUGAAGAACGCAGCAAAAUGCGAUAAGUAAUGUGAAUUGCAGAAUUCAGUGAAUCAUCGAAUCUUUGAACGCACAUUGCGCCCGCCAGUAUUCUGGCGGGCAUGCCUGUUCGAGCGUCAUUUCAACCCUCAAGCACAGCUUGGUGUUGGGACUCGCGUUAAUUCGCGUUCCCCAAAUUGAUUGGCGGUCACGUCGAGCUUCCAUAGCGUAGUAGUAAAACCCUCGUUACUGGUAAUCGUCGCGGCCACGCCGUUAAACCCCAACUUCUGAAUGUUGACCUCGGAUCAGGUAGGAAUACCCGCUGAACUUAAGCAUAUCAAUAAGCGGAGGA
Molecule: unclassified non-coding RNA, 331 nt
Filed under: soil metagenome
Description: partial contains 5.8S ribosomal RNA, internal transcribed spacer 2, and large subunit ribosomal RNA
Rfam family: 5.8S ribosomal RNA (bases 1-119)
Source: RNAcentral